AUUUAAGUAGCUUAAUUUUAGAGCAUAAUAUUGAAAAUAUUGAGGUAAUAUUUUGUAUUUUUAAAUA
Molecule: transfer RNA, 67 nt
Filed under: Andrena subopaca
Lineage: Eukaryota; Metazoa; Arthropoda; Insecta; Hymenoptera; Andrenidae
Description: tRNA-Phe
Source: RNAcentral